Molecule: unclassified non-coding RNA, 298 nt
Organism: Callithrix jacchus (white-tufted-ear marmoset)
Lineage: Eukaryota; Metazoa; Chordata; Mammalia; Primates; Cebidae
Rfam family: Metazoan signal recognition particle RNA
About the family: The signal recognition particle (SRP) is a universally conserved ribonucleoprotein. It is involved in the co-translational targeting of proteins to membranes. The eukaryotic SRP consists of a 300-nucleotide 7S RNA and six proteins: SRPs 72, 68, 54, 19, 14, and 9.
Source: Ensembl
GCUGGACUGUGUGUGAUGGUGUAUGCCUGUAGUCCCAGUCACUCAGGAGGCUGAAGUGGGAGGAGGGCUUGAGACCAGGAGUUCUAGGCUAUAGUGAGCUAUGCUUAUCAGAUGCUUCACUAAGUUCGGCAUCAAUAUGGUGACCUCCCAGGAGCCAGGGACUACCAGGUUGCCUAAGGAGAGGUGAACUGGCCAAGUUCAGAAAUAGAGUUGGUUAAAACCCCUGUGCUCAUCAAGAACAGACACCAGGUUAGAGUUCCAGUCUUCUCUAUUCAUAAGUGUAGAGCCACCAUUACUU